CCUACGGGAGGCAGCAGUGGGGAAUAUUGCACAAUGGGCGCAAGCCUGAUGCAGCGACGCCGCGUGAGGGAUGACGGCCUUCGGGUUGUAAACCUCUUUCAGUAGGGAAGAAGCGAAAGUGACGGUACCUGCAGAAGAAGCGCCGGCUAACUACGUGCCAGCAGCCGCGGUAAUACGUAGGGCGCAAGCGUUAUCCGGAAUUAUUGGGCGUAAAGAGCUCGUAGGCGGUUUGUCGCGUCUGCUGUGAAAGACCGGGGCUCAACUCCGGUUCUGCAGUGGGUACGGGCAGACUAGAGUGCAGUAGGGGAGACUGGAAUUCCUGGUGUAGCGGUGAAAUGCGCAGAUAUCAGGAGGAACACCGAUGGCGAAGGCAGGUCUCUGGGCUGUAACUGACGCUGAGGAGCGAAAGCAUGGGGAGCGGAACAGGAUUAGAUACCCUGGUAGUCCAUGCCGUAAACGUUGGGCACUAGGUGUGGGGGACAUUCCACGUUUUCCGCGCCGUAGCUAACGCAUUAAGUGCCCCGCCUGGGGAGUACGGCCGCAAGGCAAAACUCAAAUGAAUUGACGG
Molecule: ribosomal RNA, 568 nt
Filed under: uncultured bacterium
Lineage: Bacteria
Description: bacterial SSU rRNA
Rfam family: Bacterial small subunit ribosomal RNA
Source: RNAcentral